GGCGUGCUAUGUCAUCUAAUAAAUUUUAAAUCAAUAAGACAUAAUUUCUAAGGGUGUGCAUGGUUUUUGGGAGAGUCUCAAAUUGAGCAAAAUACCCAUAUCAAACUGACCAAAUUUUAUGGUCUUGGUUCGGUUUCAAUUCUUCACUAUGAACUAAACCAAAAUAAUGUUGAACUUGUAUUAAAUAAAAGAACCAAUUUUAUUCAUAUGUUUUUCUAUAAUUUUUUAGAUAUAAUAUUUACUUUCAAUAUAUAUGC
RNAcentral lists this unclassified non-coding RNA (257 nucleotides) under Hevea brasiliensis (rubber tree). Lineage: Eukaryota; Viridiplantae; Streptophyta; Magnoliopsida; Malpighiales; Euphorbiaceae. The record is from RNAcentral.